AACGAACGCUGGCGGCAGGCCUAACACAUGCAAGUCGAGCGAGACCUUCGGGUCUAGCGGCGGACGGGUGAGUAACGCGUGGGAACGUGUCCUUUUCUACGGAAUAGCCUCGGGAAACUGAGCGUAAUACCGUAUACGCCCUUUGGGGGAAAGAUUUAUCGGAGAAGGAUCGGCCCGCGUUGGAUUAGGUAGUUGGUGGGGUAAUGGCCUACCAAGCCUACGAUCCAUAGCUGGUUUGAGAGGAUGAUCAGCCACACUGGGACUGAGACACGGCCCAGACUCCUACGGGAGGCAGCAGUGGGGAAUCUUAGACAAUGGGGGCAACCCUGAUCUAGCCAUGCCGCGUGAGUGAUGAAGGCCUUAGGGUUGUAAAGCUCUUUCAGCUGGGAAGAUAAUGACGGUACCAGCAGAAGAAGCCCCGGCUAACUCCGUG
This 433-nucleotide ribosomal RNA is filed under the name uncultured bacterium. RNAcentral describes it as "partial 16S ribosomal RNA". It matches the Rfam family "Bacterial small subunit ribosomal RNA", at positions 29 to 507 of the family's 1533-position model. The record is from RNAcentral.